GGUUGAGCAACCAAGUAUUGUAAUUGAUUUGUUAAUAAAUAAAAUAUAUUUGGCAUUUUCAUCAUAAGCUUUCAUCUUCUAAUGAACUCCGUUGUUAUGAUGAAGUCCUUAGGACUAUUUAAGUUCGAUAAAGAGAGAAUUUAUCGAUUAGUCCUUAAAACUGUUCACGACCAAAUAGAUAGGCUGUUAAUAAGGACGACAGCUUCUAUCAAG
RNAcentral lists this long non-coding RNA (213 nucleotides) under Elaeis guineensis (African oil palm). RNAcentral's name for it is "long non-coding RNA (EGUI_LNC069186)". Lineage: Eukaryota; Viridiplantae; Streptophyta; Magnoliopsida; Arecales; Arecaceae. The record is from RNAcentral.